UACGUAAGGGGCUAGCGUUGUUCGGAAUCAUUGGGCGUAAAGGGCGUGUAGGCGGUUUAAUAAGUUGGAUGUGAAAUCCCAGAGCUUAACUCUGGAACUGCGUUCAAAACUAUUAGACUAGAGUUCGGGAGAGGUUAUCGGAAUUCCUGGUGUAGGGGUGAAAUCUAUAGAUAUCAGGAGGAACACCGGUGGCGAAGGCGGAUAACUGGCCUUGAACUGACGCUGAGGCGCGAAAGCUAGGGGAG
Molecule: ribosomal RNA, 245 nt
Filed under: uncultured bacterium
Lineage: Bacteria
Description: partial 16S ribosomal RNA
Rfam family: Bacterial small subunit ribosomal RNA
Source: RNAcentral